Lynx canadensis (Canada lynx) is the source of this 1560-nucleotide long non-coding RNA. RefSeq lists it as uncharacterized. The record is from RefSeq and is a predicted model, not a curated record. The transcript has 3 exons. Lineage: Eukaryota; Metazoa; Chordata; Mammalia; Carnivora; Felidae.
UGUUUUGAGUUCAGCACCGUGAUAUAGACAUGGAUUUUGAGUCCCAGCUGUACUUUUUACUUGAUGUAUGAUCAAGUCACAUAACCUUUUCUUGAAUGUUAAGUCUUUUUCCCACUAAAAUCAGAGAUAACAUUGGCUGCCUCACUGAGUUGUUAUGAGAAUUAAGUGAAAUAACACAAGUGAAAGAACCGAUUAAAUAUAUUGCAAGUGCUCUGUCAAUGACCUGACUGCUGUCUGGAGGUUUUCUUGAAUCUGAAUUACCAGAAAAAAAUUGCCUGUACUCUCUCUUUGUCUUUCCAUGGGUGCACACAGCUUUCCUCAACCGCAAGUCAGAUCUGAGUGAAUGCCUGAAAAACCUGGAGAAGGAUAGGCACUUGGUCUGAGGGUGGGGCUGCAUGUGCAUUCCAUCUGACAGCCUAGGGCCCCACAAAUACAAACUUAGUCACUCUGGAGUGUAACAGGGCUUCUGGCUGACUCCAGAGUUAGAGCAAGCAUAAUGGGACAAAAGAAAAGGGUACAGGGGACAUGGUAUACUCAGUUGACUUUUGUCAGCCAUGUCAAGAGGCAGAAUGGAGUGCUCGUUAUAAGCAAGGAUAUCUGGAGCCUGCUUAGAACAGUGCUCAAUAUACUAGGUAUCAGUGCUUUCGAGAGGCAGCAGAGACUCAAGCUAAAGCAUGUGGCUCUGAAUGAGCUGCCUUAGUCUGUUUUCACCGUUUACUGACUAGAUGACCUUGGGAAGUUCUUGCAGUCCUUCGGUUUCUUCAUCUGUAAAAUGGGGGGUGGUAGUAAUACUUCAUAGGGUUGUUUUUGUUAUGAUUUAAUGAGUUAAUAAGUGUCAAGGGCUUAGAACAGUGUCUGGCAUGUAGCACAUAUUUGCUGUUAUUGUUGUUUUUAUUAUCAUUAUUACAGGUAAGCUGCCCCCACUCCUUUCCUUCCAGCUCAAAAAAUGUAGAUUACUCCCUAGCCAACCUGAAGGAGAAGGCUGUUGAUCACCCAGAAAUCUUUCUAUGACUCUCACCUGUAUGGCUGGUCAUGCCUACUUUAUCCUAAGGUGGUUCUUUAAAAGUUCGCUCCAGGAGGGACACAUUUACCCCUCCCAGGAGGCUGUCGCAUCCCACACCUUCACUCUACCCUUGCAUGUGGUGCCCAUUAGUCCCUUGUGAUUUUUCACCACCUUCAGUUCCUCGACUUGUGUUUUUCCUCUCCCUUCCAGUUCUUGAGUAUGAUGAAGGGCUGUCCUGAGUCCUGUCGACAGUGAGGGGAUGUUGCACUGAUCAGACCAGGGCUGCUAUUUUUCUGGAUGAAUAGUGAAAUUUGACUCCUUAUUGCCUGCUUCAUCCGAACACAUCACAGAGCAAUUGCCAACAAGCAGUUCUUCUGGAUAAUGUCCUGGGCCUCAUUUUCCAUAUUAGAACACGUGGAAUGCUAAAAUCAAAAAGAUGCAUUUCAAAAUAUUGAACAGUGAAAUGUCAUGUUAUCUGUGAUUGCUUUGAAAUACUUCAGCAAGGGAAAAAAAGAAUGAAGCAAGUAAGUAUCGCAUUCAUAAUUAUUAAAUUUGGG